Molecule: transfer RNA, 86 nt
Filed under: Actinomycetota bacterium
Lineage: Bacteria; Bacillati; Actinomycetota
Description: tRNA-Leu
Rfam family: tRNA
About the family: Transfer RNA (tRNA) molecules are approximately 80 nucleotides in length.
Source: RNAcentral
GCCCGGGUGGCGGAACGGCAGACGCGCGGGACUUAAAAUCCUGUGUCCGAAAGGGCGUGUGGGUUCGAGUCCCACCCCGGGUACCA